UAGGUAGUUUCAAGUUGUUGGGCUGGAUUGUUAAGAUCACAGGAACCUGAAACUGCCUGAAU
This 62-nucleotide microRNA precursor is filed under the name Monopterus albus (swamp eel). RNAcentral's name for it is "Mal-Mir-196-P3a_pre stem-loop". The record is from RNAcentral. Lineage: Eukaryota; Metazoa; Chordata; Actinopteri; Synbranchiformes; Synbranchidae.